RNAcentral lists this unclassified non-coding RNA (258 nucleotides) under plant metagenome. RNAcentral describes it as "partial contains small subunit ribosomal RNA and internal transcribed spacer 1". The stretch from base 1 to 46 matches the Rfam family "Eukaryotic small subunit ribosomal RNA", at positions 1786 to 1831 of the family's 1831-position model. The record is from RNAcentral.
AAGUCGUAACAAGGUUUCCGUAGGUGAACCUGCGGAAGGAUCAUUAAAGAGAGGAGACGGCUUCGCAGUUCCCUGGGGCUUACGGCCCCUUCCUCUUCACCCCGGUGUUUACCUUUACCGACAUUCGUUGCUUUGGCAGGCCUUGGGGUCGUGCUCAUGCCGCCCGGGGGUGUCCCGGGGGCGAGCGCCUGCCAGAAAGCCCAUUUAACUUCUUGAAUCAACCAUGUUGUUCUGAGAUGAAAACAAAAUCAAGCAAAA